This 538-nucleotide ribosomal RNA is filed under the name Yersinia enterocolitica subsp. palearctica YE-150. RNAcentral's name for it is "bacterial SSU rRNA". It matches the Rfam family "Bacterial small subunit ribosomal RNA", at positions 1 to 528 of the family's 1533-position model. Lineage: Bacteria; Pseudomonadati; Pseudomonadota; Gammaproteobacteria; Enterobacterales; Yersiniaceae. The record is from RNAcentral.
AAAUUGAAGAGUUUGAUCAUGGCUCAGAUUGAACGCUGGCGGCAGGCCUAACACAUGCAAGUCGAGCGGCAGCGGGGAGUAGUUUACUACUUUGCCGGCGAGCGGCGGACGGGUGAGUAAUGUCUGGGAAACUGCCUGAUGGAGGGGGAUAACUACUGGAAACGGUAGCUAAUACCGCAUAACGUCUUCGGACCAAAGUGGGGGACCUUCGGGCCUCACGCCAUCGGAUGUGCCCAGAUGGGAUUAGCUAGUAGGUGGGGUAAUGGCUCACCUAGGCGACGAUCCCUAGCUGGUCUGAGAGGAUGACCAGCCACACUGGAACUGAGACACGGUCCAGACUCCUACGGGAGGCAGCAGUGGGGAAUAUUGCACAAUGGGCGCAAGCCUGAUGCAGCCAUGCGGGGUGUGUGAAGAAGGCCUUCGGGUUGUAAAGCACUUUCAGCGAGGAGGAAGGCAUGAAGGUUAAUAACCUUUGUGAUUGACGUUACUCGCAGAAGAAGCACCGGCUAACUCCGUGCCAGCAGCCGCGGUAAUACGG